RNAcentral lists this long non-coding RNA (888 nucleotides) under Homo sapiens (human). RNAcentral describes it as "long non-coding RNA NONHSAT192107.1". The stretch from base 1 to 81 matches the Rfam family "mir-650 microRNA precursor family". The record is from RNAcentral. Lineage: Eukaryota; Metazoa; Chordata; Mammalia; Primates; Hominidae.
CAGGAGGCAGCGCUCUCAGGACAUCUCCACCAUGGCCUGGGCUCUGCUGCUCCUCACCCUCCUCACUCAGGGCACAGGGUCCUGGGCCCAGUCUGCCCUGACUCAGCCUGCCUCCGUGUCUGGGUCUCCUGGACAGUCGAUCACCAUCUCCUGCACUGGAACCAGCAGUGACGUUGGUGGUUAUAACUAUGUCUCCUGGUACCAACAGCACCCAGGCAAAGCCCCCAAACUCAUGAUUUAUGAGGUCAGUAAUCGGCCCUCAGGGGUUUCUAAUCGCUUCUCUGGCUCCAAGUCUGGCAACACGGCCUCCCUGACCAUCUCUGGGCUCCAGGCUGAGGACGAGGCUGAUUAUUACUGCAGCUCAUAUACAAGCAGCAGCACUCUCCACAUGUGUGGUAUUCGGCGGAGGGACCAAGCUGACCGUCCUAGGUCAGCCCAAGGCUGCCCCCUCGGUCACUCUGUUCCCACCCUCCUCUGAGGAGCUUCAAGCCAACAAGGCCACACUGGUGUGUCUCAUAAGUGACUUCUACCCGGGAGCCGUGACAGUGGCCUGGAAGGCAGAUAGCAGCCCCGUCAAGGCGGGAGUGGAGACCACCACACCCUCCAAACAAAGCAACAACAAGUACGCGGCCAGCAGCUACCUGAGCCUGACGCCUGAGCAGUGGAAGUCCCACAAAAGCUACAGCUGCCAGGUCACGCAUGAAGGGAGCACCGUGGAGAAGACAGUGGCCCCUACAGAAUGUUCAUAGGUUCUCAUCCCUCACCCCCCACCACGGGAGACUAGAGCUGCAGGAUCCCAGGGGAGGGGUCUCUCCUCCCACCCCAAGGCAUCAAGCCCUUCUCCCUGCACUCAAUAAACCCUCAAUAAAUAUUCUCAUUGUCAAUCAG